Molecule: ribosomal RNA, 513 nt
Filed under: uncultured bacterium
Lineage: Bacteria
Description: bacterial SSU rRNA
Rfam family: Bacterial small subunit ribosomal RNA
Source: RNAcentral
AUUAGAGUUUGAUCCUGGCUCAGGACGAACGCUGGCGGCGUGCCUAACACAUGCAAGUCGAACGGAAACAGCUUAAAGCUUGCUUUGAACUGUUUUAGUGGCGGACGGGUGGGUAACGCGUGAGGAACCUGCCUUUCAGAGGGGGAUAACGUCUGGAAACGGACGCUAAUACCGCAUGACAUACCGAGGUCGCAUGGCUUUGGUAUCAAAGGAGCAAUCCGCUGAGAGAUGGACUCGCGUCCGAUUAGCCAGUUGGCGGGGUAACGGCCCACCAAAGCGACGAUCGGUAGCCGGGCUGAGAGGCUGAACGGCCACAUUGGGACUGAGACACGGCCCAGACUCCUACGGGAGGCAGCAGUGGGGGAUAUUGCACAAUGGAGGAAACUCUGAUGCAGCAACGCCGCGUGAGGGAAGAAGGUUCUCGGAUUGUAAACCUCUGUCCUCAGGGACGAUAAUGACGGUACCUGAGGAGGAAGCUCCGGCUAACUACGUGCCAGCAGCCGCGGUAAUAAU